GGUUAAAAAGCUCGUAGUUGGAUUUCUGUUGAGGGCAGCCGGUCCGCACUCGGUGCGUGUAUCUGGUUUGACCUCGGCAUCCUCUCAAAAUACGUUUCUGCGCUUGAUUGCGUGGAGCGGAGUUUGAGACUUUUACUUUGAGGAAAUUAGAGUGUUCACGGCAGGCAAUCGCCUUGAAUAUAUUAGCAUGGAAUAAUAAUAUAGGAUCUUGGCUCUAUUUUGUUGGUUUCUAGAGCUAAGAUAGUGAUUAAUAGGGACAAUUGGGGGCAUUCGUAUUAACGCGUCAGAGGUGGAAUUCUUGGAUUGCGUUACGACGAACUACUGCGAAAGCAUUUGCCAAGGAUGUUUUCAUUGAUCAAGAACGAAAGUAAGGGGAUCGAAGACGAUUAGAUACCGUCGUAGUCUUUACCAUAAACUAUGCCAACUAGAGAUGGGGUGUCGUUCUUUUCUGACUCACUCCGCACCUUAUGAGAAAUCAAAGUUUUUGGGUUCCGGGGGGAG
RNAcentral lists this ribosomal RNA (501 nucleotides) under uncultured marine eukaryote. RNAcentral describes it as "SSU rRNA". It matches the Rfam family "Eukaryotic small subunit ribosomal RNA", at positions 617 to 1123 of the family's 1831-position model. The record is from RNAcentral.